CCUACGGGGGGCAGCAGUGGGGAAUAUUGCACAAUGGGCGCAAGCCUGAUGCAGCCAUGCCGCGUGUGUGAAGAAGGCCUUCGGGUUGUAAAGCACUUUCAGCGGGGAGGAAGGCGGUGAGGUUAAUAACCUCAUCGAUUGACGUUACCCGCAGAAGAAGCACCGGCUAACUCCGUGCCAGCAGCCGCGGUAAUACGGAGGGUGCAAGCGUUAAUCGGAAUUACUGGGCGUAAAGCGCACGCAGGCGGUCUGUCAAGUCGGAUGUGAAAUCCCCGGGCUCAACCUGGGAACUGCAUUCGAAACUGGCAGGCUAGCGUCUUGUAGAGGGGGGUAGAAGUCCAGGUGGAGCGGUGAAAUGCGUAGAGAUCUGGAGGAAUACCGGUGGCGAAGGCGGCCCCCUGAACAAAGACUGACGCUCAGGUGCGAAAGCGUGGGGAGCAAACAGGAUUAGAUACCCUUGUAGUC
This 465-nucleotide ribosomal RNA is filed under the name uncultured Klebsiella sp. RNAcentral's name for it is "bacterial SSU rRNA". It matches the Rfam family "Bacterial small subunit ribosomal RNA", at positions 338 to 795 of the family's 1533-position model. The record is from RNAcentral. Lineage: Bacteria; Pseudomonadati; Pseudomonadota; Gammaproteobacteria; Enterobacterales; Enterobacteriaceae.